Tetranychus urticae (two-spotted spider mite) is the source of this 679-nucleotide non-coding RNA. The record is from RefSeq and is a predicted model, not a curated record. NCBI's taxonomy places the organism in Eukaryota, Metazoa, Arthropoda, Arachnida, Trombidiformes, Tetranychidae.
UUUUGAGAGGUUUGACUUUAUUUACUAGACAUAAACAUAAGUAUAAACUGAUUCUAUAAUAAUCCAAUAAUAAAUCUGAUAAACAUCAAUUGAUAUACUCAAUAUUAAAAGCUGGAACCUAAGGUUACCACAACAACAAAGGCUCUUUCUUCGCCAGACUCUUUAGUAGUCUUUAUUAGUUUAAUUCAUCUUGAAAGGUAUUUGACACAAGUUUGUAUAUUUAUAGUCUGUUCUUGUUUAUCUGUAUAUUCAGUGAAAAGUCUCCAACUUUAAAGGACUUUAGAUUCAAAAGUUGUUAUUUUCUUGGAUUGUGAAAGAAAUCAUUGAAAAUGUCUCAACGUUAUAAAGUUUUGGACCUGUAUAAAAGGCUUCUCUAUAUGGGUUUGGAGUGGCCGAAAGGUUUUAAUUACUUCCGUGACCGAUGUAAACGGGCUUUUCUGGCAAACAAAGAUUUGAAGGAUGAAACUGCAAUAGCCAAGUGCAUUUCAAGAGGUGAAUAUGUGAUCAAAGAAAUCGAAGCACUAUACAGGCUCAAGAAAUAUCGAGCUAUGAAGAGAAGAUAUUACAAAGAUUGAUUGUUGUAUUUGAUGUAAAGAUUAAAUAUUGCUGCUUUGAUUUACACAUUUUAAAGGAAAAAUAAGACAUAUUUUGUUUAAGCACUCACAAAGUGCUGAGAUUA